Molecule: long non-coding RNA, 5104 nt
Organism: Oncorhynchus tshawytscha (Chinook salmon)
Lineage: Eukaryota; Metazoa; Chordata; Actinopteri; Salmoniformes; Salmonidae
Source: Ensembl
UGGAGGUUGUGAUAGAGUUGGCUGGAGAUUGUGAUAGGGUUGAGAAGUUGGCUGGAGGUUGUGAUAGGGUUGGAGAGUUGGCUGCAGAGCUGGAGGUUGUGAUAGGGUUGGAGAGUUGGCUGGAGGUUGUGAUAGGGUUGGAGAGUUGACUGCAGAGCGCAUUGUCCUCUCAUUCAUUGUCCUCUGAGAAAAAUACCUUCAUCCUGUUAUUUCAUGCUAGUUGGUUUGAGAGGAAAAAACAAUGAGGGAGACUUGAGUCUUGUGACAGGGAUAUGCUAAAACUACUUAAAGCCAUAUCCUGUUUUUAAUGCAUGUGGUUGUUUUGUAGGCUUGAUGUUUGCCCCCCUCUUCUCUGUAACCUCUGUGUUUACUUCCUCUAUGAGUUUACUUUAUUCUAGUGGAUUUGGUCCCAAAGUUGGGUUUCCUCUCAAAGUUUGUGUUUUGGUCCUGGCUAGGAAUCUGGGCCUGUGAGACAUUAUCUGGACUUACUCAGUUAGUAUGGGUUAGCAUCAGGGGUGCAUUUAUUAGUCGGAGUCUGUUGCAAAAAGUUUUGCAAUGAAACCUGUUUACUGUUUGGUUCCUAGAGUAAACCGGCAAAAUGGAACAAAACAGAGAGGACUACCUGAAUUUGUACAAUAGAAACUAGUUUUCAUUGAUAUAAGUUUUACAUUUGCAACGGAAUCCGACUGAUGAAUACACUCCAGCGUUUGAACUCCUUUGUGCUGUUUGUUAAGAGUCCUCAUCACUUCCGCUGCUUUUAUACAAUUUUAACUGAAGCUUGUGGCCACAAUGACAAAUAAUGAAACUUGAUGUAGGCCUAAUCAAUGUUUUACAUCCACAUUUGACAUUACAUGCUUGAUGACUGACGGUUGCCAUAGUUGUGCACUUUCAUGUGCUCUCGUCAAAACGCUAUGAGAUCUUGUGGAGGCUUCUGGAGAUGGCAUCUAGCUAGUCAAAACGCUAUGAGAUCUUGUGGAGGCUUCUGGAGAUGGCAUCUAGCUAGUCAAAACGCUAUGAGAUCUUGUGGAGGCUUCUGGAGAUAGCAUCUAGCUAGUCAAAACGCUAUGAGAUCUUGUGGAGGCUUCUGGAGAUAGCAUCUAGCUAGUCAAAAUGCUAUGAGAUCUUGUGGAGGCUUCUGGAGAUAGCAUCUAGCUAGUCAAAAUGCUAUGAGAUCUUGUGGAGGCUUCUGGAGAUAGCAUCUAGCUAGUCAAAACGCUAUGAGAUCUUGUGGAGGCUUCUGGAGAUAGCAUCUAGCUAACCUUAAAUCCUUGGCACUGGUCAUCGUCGGUUGAUUUGUUCAAAUCCGUUAUUUCCUCAUGACAUGCUGCUGUUUGUUGAGGUGCUUGCCGUAUUCAGGACCAGUUGCGCCCCGUCUCUGUGCGACUAGAAACCAUGCAUGGGUUGUUGGUCUGUCUUGUCAGCUGUUUUGGCAGAGGAAACUGGGAAAGGGUGGUCAAGCUGCAUUCAGUCAAACCCUACAUAAAGAACCAGGGAUUUCAAGCAACCAGUUAGUCCAUGUCCUCUUCAGGUGUUCCUUUUUGUCAGUCACAUCCGUGCCCAGUAGUUGGUAUGUUUUGGCAAGUGUAGUUAAUGGAUUAGCUAAUGAUCUCUGUGUCGUGUACAGGUUUGAGAGGUGCUUGUACAACAACAAAAAAGAACAAACAUAUUUUAUAAAACAUCUUUUACCAACUGACAGUAGGGUUAAUCCUUUUUAUUUUAUUUUUAUAUGCAAAAUGUUAAGGGCUUUGGCACUCCAUCCACAGUAACCCGAAAUGACCCUUAUUUCAGUUGUGUUGAUUUAAUAAAUUAUGGACCAGUAAAAUGGUGCCCUGAGUGUUCCUCUGUCCUGUACUGUCUAACACUGACCUCAACCUACAGGGCAGUGAAGGGCCUUAAAAACCUGAUUCACCCAUUCACCUUCAGAUAGACACAUUGUAGCGGGAGGCAGAUGGGAACCUUUCUUCUAAUCAUACCUGGACAUUAGAAACCCCAGCUUACUUCAUUAAUCUAGCCUAUUGUAGAAGGGGUUUGUCCACAGACAUGCUUGGUUUAGAUGUUAUUGUUGUAAGGGCCUAUCUAUCCUGUUCUCUGUGCUUCCCUGCUCAGAUAUUGGAUGGCAUUUCCUUCAUAUUAUCCUCUUGUGGUCGGGAAAUGCUGCUCAACAACAUUGACAAGACAAAGGAGGCCUACUUAAAGAGAUAUAUUGGUCUAGUAGUUUGUCACAAAAACAGUUUUCAGAGAACUGUGGGACAAGCUUUCCCUGUUGUUGAACAAUCGGGUAACCAUUUUCUGGUUCAUUCAAUACAGCACAACCUGAAUAUUUUUCUGCUGCAAAAUCAAGUCCACCAUUCUCUUUUACAUACUUACCGAUAUAUGUAUACACAAAUGCAGUCCAUUCUGUUGCAUGUGUGUGUAUAAAACAUACAGUAUGGUUUAAUCCCUGACAUCGAAGGCUUAGAGACUUGUAUAAAUCAUCAAAAAUAAAUAAAAUGGUGCUAUUGGACCUCAUGUUUGGGCGGUCGCAGGUUUCGUGACUGGUCAUGCGGACUCAUCGAUCAUAUCCGACUUAUUAUCCUUGAUAUAUGCAGAUCUGUUCAACAGGUGUUUUUUUCCUACCAGUGUAAGUCAACACCCUGCAGGUUUGAAAGGACAAGAAGUCACUACUAAUCCCCCUCCCCCCAACUCCCUGCCUCAUGGCCUGGGGGUUAAAGGUAUAGUCUGUCGUUCAGUAGAUUGUUGCAUCAGAAGGGGAGAUUCGCUCCUGGGCUGGGACAGUAAAGAGUUGGAGUAAAAGGGGUCUAUCACCCCUCCUCUCCAGUCUCCCAUCGUAGGCCCCUUUCCCUGUCCAGCCCACGAUUGGAUGUUCCUCUUAGAAGCACACCCAUAACACUUCAUAUUUUACUCUUGUUAAAUCGUGAGUUUUUAUAGCUGUCCUGUAUCAUUUACUCAUCCAUGGAGUUGAUUAUCAGCUUAAAGGUCAUCUGACAGAAGGUUCUCACUCAACUCUGGCUCUUACAAACUCCCUCAAAGGAAGUCGUGCUUCUCAUGUAAUAUUGUCAUUCAUGUAGUCCUCUAUAACAGUGGUUUCUUUAAGCUGGACAUGAGUGUGGGUUUAGUUGGCAGGUUUAGUGAGCCAGAUGAGUGAUUGCUGAUAUCAUCAGGAUGCUCACAUAAUUAUUGUAUUUGACUUGGACAAUUCGUUGCCAUUCAUGAAUCACUCUUCCGUAUGACCGUAAGUGUAUCAUGUAACGUAAUUUUAACAUGGAAAUGACUGAACGUAAAGGUUCAUGAAUAUCAAUAAAUCUCAGUCAAAUGUGAUGUGAUUUUCCUGGUGUCCUUCAAAAGAUUAUUCUGACUGCUAAUUUGCAGUUAGUUUAAACACACCUCUGACCAUGGACGAGUGACCAUUGUUCAUACUGACACAACUGGGAUAAGGUGUAAAGACAGUGUCAUUUGGUUCCAUUGCCGGUUUAGCCCCUGCAUUCCUUGUAUGUGUACCGGUAUGCAUAUAUUUUUGUGGAAUACUUAAGCUCCUAUUACCUUUGUAUGUUCAACCGAACCAAAGAUGCCUCUGCCCCAUAGAGAUGUAUAGAGAUCAUAACAUGGAAGUAACCUGUUUUUGCAUGGACAUUUAGGGCUUCCUCCAUUUUAAAAUGGUCAACUGGGUGGAGAUUCCUAUGGUUUGGGAGUGAUCGACCAAUGAGCAGAGCAUUGUUUUCUUCUUCAAAUUAGUUUGUAAUUGGCUUUAAGCUAUAUGACUGCCAUCUAACGGCCACAAUAAAUUUAACACAAUUUGGUUCAAGACUCCAUCACUGCAGGUGGUAGUAAGUCACCAAUGUUUGCUUUACACUUUUUCAAACAUCAAAAGAAGAAAAAAAUGGACUACUUUAAAAUGGAGAAAGCCUCAAUGGCACUGUGCGUGCUGUCACAGACGCCAUAAUGGCAUAGAUACAACGUAGCGAUUUCUAUACAUCUCUAUGUUCUGGCCAAGUCCAAAUGCUGCUCUUCAGGCCUGGCUUCCUGUCCUUCCAAAAAACACCCCUGCAAGAGACAAAAUGUUAUUUUUUUCCGUCUGUUUCAGAUUUUUUUUAUCUGUUUUUUGUACGAUUUCUAACUUGUCUUUUGAUUUCUUUAGCAACCUCUUAUUCAAUGAAUUUAAUUGAUUGUCUGAAGCCUUACCCGGCGUCAAGGACAGUGAAAUUACUUGGUUGCACACAGUUUUUUUUAUUUUGUUGUCGUCACUUGUAUUUUCAUUUUUUUCAUUUUUUAAACAAAAAAAACCCCAUAGCGUGCCUCCUAGAUGUAUGAGUUUCUGUGUUUCUUUCCUAAAGACCAGCAGUUAUACUUUAUAUAAAAGAUGAGUUUGUCCUUAUUUUUUACGCCGUUAAAGAUGAAAAAAGACCUCUUUUCUUUACUCUGGACCCAGUAGCUGCACUGGUAUACAAUCGCACUAAUAGAUAAACAAAAAAAAAUAAAAAUAAAUGAAUCAAUAAUAAAUGAAAUAAGAACUACAAUAAACUUGUGUUUGGAACUUUUAUAAGAUUUACUAAAAUAAAAUAAAUUACUGUUUUUGUACAUCAAAAUCUAUUAUUUUCCCCAAAACUAUUUUGGAUCUAGUUUCUAAAUUAUUUGAGUUGUUUUCUAUGUUCUGAAAAUGUGUCGCUGUGCAGAGCAACUGUCUCUGCUGUGGUGGCAUGACGGGGCGCGGGGUUGCCUGGUGUAACCCCUCACACCCACCUUUUAUUUCUUCUACUUUUCAUUUUUGGUUCCGUCUCUUUCCCUGCUUUAGUAACUUAAAUGUUGAUGGAAUAAUAUGAACUGGGGGAAAAAAAGACUCCUUUAGAGCUAGAGUCUCCUUCCUCUCCCAUUGAAUUGCUGUUAGUGUGAUGAGACUUGAAAUGGGCAUUUAUGAUAGUAUGGCUCCAAAAAAAUACAGAAAAUGAAAAAUGUUUUUAAAAAAUGUGUGGGGAGGGAGAAAAUCUUAUAUAUAGAUGGGUUAUCAGUGGGUAUGUGAGCAAUGGCUGUGGAUAUGAUCAUGUAGUUUUAAACAUUGUUAUUACCUUUUUAAAUUCAUUUAGCCAAUAAAAAUGAAUAAAACCAUGUG